CUGCCAGGAGGCCUCCUUCAUCCCUCCCCGUUUGGUCUGCUCAGGCAGGCAGUGAUGAUGAACCUUGUGUUCCCUGGCCGACCUCCUUUUUCCUACUGAGGCGGAGGGUAACGCUUUGGCCAACCUACUGGACGAUCUCUGUUGUUGCAGCAGAGGCAGGAAAAAAAUGAAACUCCCUCCCUCAAGUGAAAAAAUCAUUUGCUACACAGCUCUAGGGAGCUGCAUUAGCACUGGAACUGCGAGAUCUUUGCCCUGUCCCUGGAGGCACCCGAUUGGCAUUUGCUAGAUUUGUGAUGCUCCAGUAGAAAGAACAGGAAACCUGCUGAGGACUGAAAGGUUUGACUCUGGAAAAGCAGGGAGUAUAGAAACAGAGACUUUAUUAUAUUACUUUUUUUCCUCCAUAAGAAAGUUAUUCAUAAACAUUCAAAUUAGAAACAUGCAUAAAAAUCUGAAAAAAAACCAGCAAUGAGCAAAUUCUUACCUGCUGCCUUUGCUAGUACAAAAAUAUUAGCAUCCUUAUUUUGCGCUCUGAUACGCACGUUGCCUGUUUGCAGGAGCAGCCGGCUGGGCGGAGGCACAAUGCAGUGGGCACCUACGCAGAAGACGGUCCUGCAGAUUCCCCGGGUGCAUUUUGACAUUCUCACUGGAAAUCUGGCCCUAAAUAAUGUGGAAGGGACGUGCAGAAAUGAUAGCUCUCGAUUUGGGCCCUGUUGCUGGUUUAGUUUGUUUUUUCCACCACUGCCUUUUGCCAGCAUGUGAGGGGCCAUUUUUUCCCCUUCUAUCAAUUUUCUGCCAAUACAAAUCUUCCCCCUGAAGUGCUGAUGCCAAGCCAAAGGCCAAAUUUGGGUUAGGAAAUCUGGGUGGUUGACACCUGGUUUCUCAACUAAUGUGAAUUGCUCCCUUGUUGCUGCCAUGAGUGACAGGUGAGUUAGACAAGAGCUGACCUGGCUGCCUCUGAAAGGCUCCCUUUCUCUGCUCAGUUUUGAAAGUGGGACCAAUCUGUGUUUUCAAACUAAAGCUUUCACUUGGUACCAGCAGUAGGCCACCAUGCCAACCAGAAACACUCUGCUAAGGAGGCACCGCACAAUGUAACGAGGUAAGCAUGUAAAAUAUCAUGCUCCAAAUUCACUCCUAGUGCCAACUGAAUAACUUUGAUGCUUACUACAAGAAUAGAUUUUGCCCUGUAAGUCUAGCUUUUUUAAUCCAAUGUGAAACCAGCAAGUUUAUACAACUGAAGUGGAUGAAGUGAUCAGAUUCAUUUGCCCUUGACACUGCAUUAGUCCAGACCAAACCUCUGGAAAGAAAAAUGAUUAAACCUUUCUGGGAAGCUGUGUGGGAAUAGGAAGGCUGCAAAACCUUAACUGCGGUAUUACUCAACAGCUUCUUGUGUUUCAUCAUAUGAAGUAGAUGUCCUUCAGCAAAGCCUGUGCAGACAGUUCCCCAGCUAUGCAUUAGCCAUGAGCUCAGUCAGGAGUUGCUGAUCCAAUACUGGCACUACGGAGCCAACCACUACAGGCUCUGCUACAUCGAAGGAGAAGAAACAUAGUCAUAGUUGUCUCCUCUCUGAAAAUCGGCCUCAGUGAAGUGACAGAACUUUUCCUCCGCCCAUAUGACUGUACCACGUUGACUCCUCAGAUUUAACUGGGUUUCUGCUUGGAAGGAGAAGACUGUAAAUCCUGCUGAUGUGAGCCACAAAGCUGCCUUCUGCGUGUUUCUCCUCACUGGCCCAUACAGAAAAGGAUCCAUGCUACAAUUUGGAUGAUAUUGCAGAAACAAUACAUUUCAAGGGAGAGGAACAAAAAGGAGGAGGAAGCAUUUGUGAUGCAUGCUGAAUUCAAGCCGAUGCCCUGCCUGACUCCUGAGAGCAGACAGGAACAUGACUGCAGGCCCUCAUCUAUGGGUUCUUUUGCAGCUGAAGUAGGACAAAAAUGCUAGUAACUAAAAGCAUCUCCUUAGGCGAGGGGAAGCCAAUGAAAACCAGCUGCUGUGACAGGUGAGGAGACAUAAAUCACAGCUUUUUAAAAUGAAGUUUUCCACUGAACCUCUCUCCUGAGCCAUGUGGUGCCCCCCGCC
Long non-coding RNA from Dromaius novaehollandiae (emu), 2073 nucleotides. RefSeq lists it as uncharacterized. The record is from RefSeq and is a predicted model, not a curated record. NCBI's taxonomy places the organism in Eukaryota, Metazoa, Chordata, Aves, Casuariiformes, Dromaiidae. The transcript is spliced from 3 exons.